GAAGAAGGCUUCUGGUUGUAAAGUACUUCAGCAGUGAGGAAGGGGGGAGUCGUAUAGCGGCCUCAUUUGACGUUAGCUGCAGUAGGAAGCACCGGCUAACUCCGUGCCAGCAGGCGGCGGUAUACGGAGGGUGCGAGCGUUAAUCGUAAUUACUGGGCGUAAAGCGCAUGCAGGUGGUUUGUUAAGUCAGAUGUGAAAGCCCGGGGCUCAACCCUCGGAAUUGCAUUUGAAACUGGCAAACUAGAGUACUGUAGAGGGGGGGUAGAAUUUCAGGUGUAGCGGUGAAAUGCGUAGAGAUCUGAAGGGAAUACCGGUGGCGAAGGCGGCCCCCUGGACAGAUACUGACACUCAGAUGCGAAAGCGUGGGGAGCAAACAGGAUUAGAUACCCUGGUAGUCCACGCCGUAAACGAUGUCUACUUGGAGGUUGUGGCCCUGAGCCGUGGCUUUCGGAGCUAACGCGUUAAGUAGACCGCCUGGGGAGUACGGUCGCAAGAUUAAAACUCAAAUGAAUUGACGGGGGCCCGCACAAGCGGUGGAGCAUGUGGUUUAAUUCGAUGCAACGCGAAGAACCUUACCUACUCUUGACAUCCAGAGAAUCCUACGGAGACGUGGGAGUGCCUUCGGGAACUCUGAGACAGGUGCUGCAUGGCUGUCGUCAGCUCGUGUUGUGAAAUGUUGGGUUAAGUCCCGCAACGAGCGCAACCCUUAUCCUUGUUUGCCAGCACUUCGGGUGGGAACUCCAGGGAGACUGCCGGUGAUAAACCGGAGGAAGGUGGGGACGACGUCAAGUCAUCAUGGCCCUUACGAGUAGGGCUACACACGUGCUACAAUGGCGCAUACAGAGGGCGGCCAACUUGCGAAAGUGAGCGAAUCCCAAAAAGUGCGUCGUAGUCCGGAUUGGAGUCUGCAACUCGACUCCAUGAAGUCGGAAUCGCUAGUAAUCGUGGAUCAGAAUGCCACGGUGAAUACGUUCCCGGGCCUUGUACCACUACCCGCCCG
Molecule: ribosomal RNA, 1000 nt
Filed under: Vibrio sinaloensis
Lineage: Bacteria; Pseudomonadati; Pseudomonadota; Gammaproteobacteria; Vibrionales; Vibrionaceae
Description: bacterial SSU rRNA
Rfam family: Bacterial small subunit ribosomal RNA
Source: RNAcentral